Long non-coding RNA from Melanaphis sacchari, 704 nucleotides. RefSeq lists it as uncharacterized. The record is from RefSeq and is a predicted model, not a curated record. NCBI's taxonomy places the organism in Eukaryota, Metazoa, Arthropoda, Insecta, Hemiptera, Aphididae. The transcript has 3 exons.
UACACACAAACACAAAUUUAUAAUAUUUAUGCCGGUCAACUUAUCUCUCAUUGAAUGAUCGUCGUCUGCGCUACUCUGUUAAUCAACUGCAACACUUCACAAUACGACGAUUACGGACAACAGAUGACUAAUCCAACAUCCAUUUUACCGUGAUUCUUGUGCAGUUGUACAAAAAAAUGCGAUAGAUCUAUGAAGAAAAAACGAUCAGACAACAUUAUAUGACAAAAGAUUGCGUGUAUAACAACCAUCCUAAUCGUAGUGUUAUUGGAACGUUUGGAAUUAUGUAUCAACAGAUGUUUUAUUCAAACAUUCACAUUAUACGAAAUACUUAGUUCAUUGGUGUACCCACUCGAUUUUUUUAUAGCACAGCAUCACGAGAUCACGAUUACAAUGCCAAUUAUACCGGUAAAAUUAUAAUUUAAGGAACAUAAAAACCGUUAUAAUGAUUCGAGUUCAAAAUUUUCAAUUUUUUAAAAUUAUAGUUGGGGUAAAACUACAUUAUCUAAUGAAAAAACUUGUCCCUCUCCAUGUCUCAAUAUAUACAUUAUAAAUAGUACCUUAACUUAAGCACUUGGACAAUUAAAUAAUAAUGCAUUAUGGUUAGAAUUCCGUUGAGUAAAUAUAAUUUUUACAGCAAAAUAAACUUAAGGAAUUUUACUAUAAUUAAUGUAUUUACUAUUUUCGAUGCUUACUACUUUGAAAAC